Molecule: unclassified non-coding RNA, 311 nt
Filed under: Hevea brasiliensis (rubber tree)
Lineage: Eukaryota; Viridiplantae; Streptophyta; Magnoliopsida; Malpighiales; Euphorbiaceae
Source: RNAcentral
AGCAGGGGAGGGCCAGGAGCUCCUCGCGGGAAAGCCCGGCUACGGUGUCGUCGCCGUUAGGAAGGUACAUAAGAUUGAGAUUGCGGCGACGCUGGCGGAAGGCGCGGCCGGCGAUGCAGAGGUGGAUUAGGACGAGCGCGGCGACGCUGGCGAAGAAAAAGAAGAUCGAGAGGACGACGACCAUGACGAUCGCCUGGAUUAGGUAGUAGAGGAAGCGGAAUCCGCCGGUCGGUUUCACCAUCGGCGGCGCUGCCGCCGCAAGCGGCGGUGAUUGGAAUCGCGGCAUUGAUUCGUUGGUCAUUUGGGGGAGG